GUUAGUUGUGGCCGAGUGGUCAAGGCGAUGGACUCGAAAUCCAUUAGGGUUCCCCACGCAGGUUAGAAUCCUGCCAACUACG
Molecule: non-coding RNA, 82 nt
Organism: Thunnus maccoyii (southern bluefin tuna)
Lineage: Eukaryota; Metazoa; Chordata; Actinopteri; Scombriformes; Scombridae
Source: the annotation of a RefSeq genome assembly